This is an unclassified non-coding RNA of Ictidomys tridecemlineatus (thirteen-lined ground squirrel), 189 nucleotides long. The record is from Ensembl. Lineage: Eukaryota; Metazoa; Chordata; Mammalia; Rodentia; Sciuridae.
UGGCCAAUCCCAGGAACUGAAGUCUUCUGUUUCUUCACAGAGGAAAUGUGGCUCAGGCAGUGGCUGUACACGCUUCCCCAUGGCCUCCCACUGCCUCCUCCAGUAAGCCAGUAAGCGGGAGCAACUACUUCUGGAGGUGAGAGGGGAGGGAGCACCAUCUCCGUAACCUGUUUGACCCCCCUAGCUGCA